This 406-nucleotide ribosomal RNA is filed under the name uncultured bacterium. Its description in RNAcentral is "partial 16S ribosomal RNA". It matches the Rfam family "Bacterial small subunit ribosomal RNA", at positions 28 to 526 of the family's 1533-position model. The record is from RNAcentral.
GUUGAACGCUGGCGGCAGGCUUAACACAUGCAAGUCGAGCGAGCGGCGGACGGGUGAGUAAUGUAUGGGAAAUUGCCUGAAGGAGGGGGAUAACUAAUGGAACCGGUGGUAAAACCGGCUUACCUGUCGCUGUGCCCAGAUGGGAUUAGCUAGUAGGUGGGGGAAUGGCUAACCUAGGCGACGAUCCCUAGCUGGUCUGAGAGGUUGACCAGCCACACUGGAACUGAGACACGGUCCAGACUCCUACGGGAGGCAGCAGUGGGGAAUAUUGCACAAUGGGCGCAAGCCUGAUGCAGCAAGGCCGCGUGUGUGAAGAAGGCCUUCGGGUUGUAAAGCACUUUCAGCGAGGAGGCGUUACUCGCAGAAGAAGCACCGGCUAACUCCGUGCCAGCAGCCGCGGUAAUUC